GUAGGUGGCNGAGUAUGUCUGUAGUGAAAGCGUGUGGCUCAACCAUAUACACAUUACAGAAACUGCUCAGCUAGAGGGCGAGAGAGGUUACUAGAAUUCCUAGUGUAGGAGUGAAAUCCGUAGAUAUUAGGAGGAAUACCGAUGGCGUAGGCAGGUAACUGGCUCGUCCCUGACACUAAGGCACGAAAGCGUGGGGAGCAAACGGGAUUAGAUACCCCGGUAGUCCACGCUGUAAACGAUGGAUGCUAGCUGUAAGAGGUAUCGACCCCUCUUGUAGCGAAGCUAACGCGUUAAGCAUCCCGCCUGUGGAGUACGGUCGCAAGACUAAAACAUAAAGGAAUUGACGGGGACCCGCACAAGCGGUGGAGCGUGUUGUUUAAUUCGAUGGUAAACGAAGAACCUUACCCAGGUUUGACAUCCUUGGAAUUUUGCCGAAAGGCGAGAGUGCUUUAUUGAGCCAAGUGACAGGUGUUGCAUGGCCGUCGUCAGCUCGUGUCGUGAGAUGUUUGGUUAAGUCCAUCAACGAGCGCAACCCUAUAGUCUGUUGUAUUUUUCAGGCUAGACUGCCCCGGUAACGGGGAGGAAGGAGGGGAUGAUGUCGGGUCAGUAUUACCCCUACAUCUGGGGCUACAAACACGCUACAAUGGCCGGUACAAAGGGCAGCCAAGUCGCGAGACGGAGCAAAUCCCAUCAAAGCCGGUCCCAGUUCAGAUUGCAGGCUGAAACUCGCCUGCAUGAAGUCGGAAUCGCUAGUAACGGUAGGUCAGCUAUACUACCGUGAAUACGUUCCCGGGUCUUGUACACACCGCCCGUCAAACCAAGAAAGUCACCAAUACCUGACGUGUUGCCUUCGCGCAGCCCUAAGGUAGGGGGGAUGAUUGGGGUU
Molecule: ribosomal RNA, 886 nt
Filed under: uncultured Candidatus Saccharibacteria bacterium
Lineage: Bacteria; Candidatus Saccharimonadota
Description: bacterial SSU rRNA
Rfam family: Bacterial small subunit ribosomal RNA
Source: RNAcentral